RNAcentral lists this transfer RNA (73 nucleotides) under Paramuricea clavata. It matches the Rfam family "tRNA". Rfam says of the family: Transfer RNA (tRNA) molecules are approximately 80 nucleotides in length. Their secondary structure includes four short double-helical elements and three loops (D, anti-codon, and T loops). Lineage: Eukaryota; Metazoa; Cnidaria; Anthozoa; Malacalcyonacea; Plexauridae. The record is from Rfam by way of RNAcentral.
GACCUCGUAGCUCAGUUGGCAGAGCAUUGGACUAGUAUCCCAAAGGUCGCGGGUUCGAUUCCCACAGUGGUCA